Molecule: long non-coding RNA, 274 nt
Organism: Phyllostomus discolor (pale spear-nosed bat)
Lineage: Eukaryota; Metazoa; Chordata; Mammalia; Chiroptera; Phyllostomidae
Exons: 3
Source: RefSeq, a predicted model, not a curated record
GUCAAGUGUCCCCUAUGUAAAUGGAUCACUCAUUAAUAUAAAAGCGUGUGUAAACUGCCUUCAUGCCUUUGCAUUCGCUUCAGUUUUUCAGGCAGGAAACUUCCUCACAUUUCGUGAUCGCCAUCAAGAUCACCUACUGCUAUUAAUGAAAUGGUUAAAUCUGAUCAUCGUUUGAAAAUAAGGAAACUGACACACAAGAAAAUGAACUGCUUUCAUCAUAAGCUAUGGAAAUCCGGGAUAUCACCCUGAGGGUUAAAUUGAAACUCAGCUCCUA